UACGUAGGGUGUGAGCGUUAAUCGGAAUUACUGGGCGUAAAGCGUGCGCAGGCGGUUCGCUGUGUCCGAUGUGAAAGCCCCGGGCUUAACCUGGGAAUGGCAUUGGAAACUGGCGGGCUUGAGUGCGGCAGAGGGGGGUGGAAUUCCGCGUGUAGCAGUGAAAUGCGUAGAUAUCGGGAGGAACACCAGUGGCGAAGGCGGCCUUCUGGCUCGCAACUGACGCUGUAGCGCGAAAGCGUGGGGAGCGAACGGG
Molecule: ribosomal RNA, 253 nt
Filed under: uncultured prokaryote
Description: partial 16S ribosomal RNA
Rfam family: Bacterial small subunit ribosomal RNA
Source: RNAcentral